GUCUUCCUGUAACGCUUCCGAAUAAGAGGUCCGGUCGAAAAGAGUUGAAAGAUACGAAAUUAGGUGGUCGUUGGAAUCCUGAUCGCAGUAAAGUGGUCCUUGGUAACUGCUCGAGUAGAACAUGUCUGCAUCCGCCAAUAGUCUGCUAAUAGGGAGGGCUGUGCGAUUAAAGGCUUCCAUCGAUUGGGUAGUGUCCUUCAAGUGGGUGGCGAAGAGCCAGUCGGGCAUAUGUCAUGAAGGUUUCUCCGACCGAUUAAUGGUUUGCUGCUUGACUAGCCUAGGGAAAUAAUAAUAAAGGAUCUCAAAGAUUUCAUGAGACAAGCUGGGGAAGUAACGUUUGCGGAUGCACACCGACCUAAAUUAAAUGAAGGGGUGGUUGAGUUUGCCUCUUAUGGUGACUUAAAGAAUGCUAUUGAAAAACUUUCUGGAAAGGAAAUAAAUGGGAGAAAAAUAAAAUUAAUUGAAGGCAGCAAAAGGCACAGUAGGUCAAGAAGCAGGUCUCGAUCCCGGACCAGAAGUUCUUCUAGGUCUCGUAGCCGAUCCCGU
Molecule: small RNA, 546 nt
Filed under: Pongo abelii (Sumatran orangutan)
Lineage: Eukaryota; Metazoa; Chordata; Mammalia; Primates; Hominidae
Description: retained intron
Source: RNAcentral